CACCCAUCUCAGAUGUCGUCACGCUCUGCC
RNAcentral lists this non-coding RNA (30 nucleotides) under Mus musculus (house mouse). Lineage: Eukaryota; Metazoa; Chordata; Mammalia; Rodentia; Muridae. The record is from RNAcentral.